UCAUGGGGGUGUCCCUUCUGGGACACCACCGGCGGACGGCUCAGUAACACGUCGGUAACCUACCCUCGGGAGGGGGAUAAACCCCGGGAAACUGGGGCUAAUCCCCCCAUAGGUGUGGGGUACUGGAAGGUCCCCACACCGAAAGGGGCUUCGUGCCCGCCCGAGGAUGGGCCGGCGGCCGAUUAGGUAGUUGGUGGGGUAACGGCCCACCAAGCCGAAGAUCGGUACGGGCCAUGAGAGUGGGAGCCCGGAGAUGGACACUGAGACACGGGUCCAGGCCCUACGGGGCGCAGCAGGCGCGAAACCUCCGCAAUGCGGGAAACCGCGACGGGGGGACCCCCAGUGCCGUGGCAACGCCACGGCUUUUCCGGAGUGUAAAAAGCUCCGGGAAUAAGGGCUGGGCAAGGCCGGUGGCAGCCGCCGCGGUAAUACCGGCGGCCCGAGUGGUGGCCGCUAUUAUUGGGCGUAAAGCGUCCGUAGCCGGGCCCGUAAGUCCCUGGCGAAAUCCCACGGCUCAACCGUGGGGCUUGCUGGGGAUACUGCGGGCCUUGGGACCGGGAGAGGCGGGGGGUACCCCUGGGGUAGGGGUGAAAUCCUAUAAUCCCAGGGGGACCGCCAGUGGCGAAGGCGCCCCGCUGGAACGGGUCCGACGGUGAGGGA
This 660-nucleotide ribosomal RNA is filed under the name Thermococcus sp. Tc85-SC-I. RNAcentral describes it as "bacterial SSU rRNA". It matches the Rfam family "Archaeal small subunit ribosomal RNA", at positions 49 to 704 of the family's 1478-position model. The record is from RNAcentral. Lineage: Archaea; Methanobacteriati; Methanobacteriota; Thermococci; Thermococcales; Thermococcaceae.